Molecule: long non-coding RNA, 1383 nt
Filed under: Anser brachyrhynchus (Pink-footed goose)
Lineage: Eukaryota; Metazoa; Chordata; Aves; Anseriformes; Anatidae
Description: lncRNA (ENSABRG00000010719.1)
Source: RNAcentral
AUGAUGAUGAAGCUGAUGGAGUCGUGCAUCGGAAGAAAACAGGAAGCAAGAUGUGAAUUCCGCAGCUUCUAUGCUCGAUCCUAUCCAGGAUGGGGCUUGCUGUUGCUUGACCAGAGGAGCAAAACAUUGUGUGUGCAGAGGAAAGAGGGAACAGAAGAGCAAACAGUUUGUAUGAAAGGGUGCCUUCUUCCACCCCAAGGUGAUGGGCUAUGGAUCAGGACAACUAGCAUGUCUGGACGGACUUGUUCUGCUCAUCUCAUCUUUGAGAUCAUUUCAUCAUGAACUGAUGAACUGCUUGAAAGAACCUGUGAUGCCUGGUAAAACAGCUCUCUGAGAAAACUUUGUUUAGGCCUCAAGCUCCAAAUACUUCCCUUUGGCUCAGAGGAGGGGAAGGCUUAGAGGAGAAAGGAGAGUUGCUUUCCGCCUGCCAAAUUCUGCUCACCUUCCAGCAGCCGCAUUCAUGCAGCCACUGAGAAGAGCAAAAGAUUACUCUAAAUGAGUAAAGUAGCCAAAUCUGUCCUUAGUAAGGAUACUAUUAUGAAAACAAUAAUUUUGUUGUUUAGGAAUUAAUCUCCUAUUCGUGCACUUGGAGUCAGCCUUGUAUGUGGCAGAAUUAUUGUCUCAGCAGCAAAAUACAGCAUUGUGUGAAAAGUGGGUGCCUGAUAAACUCUGAAGCAACCACCUCAUUCUGAAGAAAAUGUCACAUUUAUUACUGGUGUACAAAGAGGUGCAUAAAAUUCAGUGUGUUAAAGGACAUCGCAGUGUAAUCUCAUCCAUUGAUGUCUUGUUACCAUCCGGCAUAAGUAGGGGCUCUCUAGUUUUCGAAGAUAAGGAAAAGAAAAGCCAAUCUAACGAGGCAAUGUCUUGCCAAGAGGCCACCAUUUUACAGAAUAGGCAUGGUUAUGUUUCCUAGAAAUCCUUCAGACCCAAAUUGCGUAGGUAUCCUGUUGGUGGGUGGCACUGAGCUGGCGGGAGGGCACGCGUGCUGCCUUUAUCAUCGUCACUUAUUCUCAUUUCACUGACUUCACAGGGGAGUCAGAGGCACACCACAGUGACCAUGUGUUUGUUCCUCUCUCUCUUUUGGCACAAAGGACAGGGAAAAGACGGGAUUUGUCUGUGCAAAUCUUCCUCUCCGCCAGCACAGCCACUUUACAGACUCAGUGCCCACAUGGGGGAUAGAUCUGACGGAGGGGAAGGGAAAAGCAGCAUCCCUGGAGCUGCAGAUAACCAGGGGCCACCACUUUCUCUGUCAGCCUGUGCUUACUGACAGGUGUUGUUUCAAUGAUGAAAGUCAACAGCAUUUUCUCUUUCCUCUUCCCCAGCUAACAAGACUCAAAGCAUGGGAAGGAAUAAAAAGCAGUAAUGAGCCCUGAUAUAAUUUCA